UCCCUCUCAGGCUCACAACUGGAGAGUUUCCAGUACUCUACCAGUGAUGGCUGAGGAAGGGAGAGUCAAGCAGAGGCAAAUCCAUUCCCUUCCUAGCUUGGGCAUUGGCUAGUGAGUGGAAGGCAAUUUGUUACAAGU
Tachyglossus aculeatus (Australian echidna) is the source of this 138-nucleotide small nucleolar RNA. Lineage: Eukaryota; Metazoa; Chordata; Mammalia; Monotremata; Tachyglossidae. The record is from RefSeq and is a predicted model, not a curated record.